Molecule: ribosomal RNA, 765 nt
Filed under: uncultured Streptococcus sp.
Lineage: Bacteria; Bacillati; Bacillota; Bacilli; Lactobacillales; Streptococcaceae
Description: bacterial SSU rRNA
Rfam family: Bacterial small subunit ribosomal RNA
Source: RNAcentral
GACGAACGCUGGCGGCGUGCCUAAUACAUGCAAGUAGAACGCUGAAGCUUGGUGCUUGCACCGAGCGGAUGAGUUGCGAACGGGUGAGUAACGCGUAGGUAACCUGCCUGGUAGCGGGGGAUAACUAUUGGAAACGAUAGCUAAUACCGCAUGAUAUUGAUUAUUGCAUGAUAGUCAAUUAAAAGGUGCAAUUGCAUCACUACCAGAUGGACCUGCGUUGUAUUAGCUAGUUGGUGAGGUAACGGCUCACCAAGGCAACGAUACAUAGCCGACCUGAGAGGGUGAUCGGCCACACUGGGACUGAGACACGGCCCAGACUCCUACGGGAGGCAGCAGUAGGGAAUCUUCGGCAAUGGACGGAAGUCUGACCGAGCAACGCCGCGUGAGUGAAGAAGGUUUUCGGAUCGUAAAGCUCUGUUGUAAGAGAAGAACGAGUGUGAGAGUGGAAAGUUCACACUGUGACGGUAUCUUACCAGAAAGGGGCGGCUAACUACGUGCCAGCAGCCGCGGUAAUACGUAGGUCCCGAGCGUUGUCCGGAUUUAUUGGGCGUAAAGCGAGCGCAGGCGGUUAGAUAAGUCUGAAGUUAAAGGCUGUGGCUUAACCAUAGUACGCUUUGGAAACUGUUUAACUUGAGUGCAAGAGGGGAGAGUGGAAUUCCAUGUGUAGCGGUGAAAUGCGUAGAUAUAUGGAGGAACACCGGUGGCGAAAGCGGCUCUCUGGCUUGUAACUGACGCUGAGGCUCGAAAGCGUGGGGAGCAAACAGG